This 189-nucleotide non-coding RNA is filed under the name Parvibium lacunae. RNAcentral describes it as "6S / SsrS RNA". It matches the Rfam family "6S / SsrS RNA". From Rfam's summary of the family: E. coli 6S RNA was the first non coding RNA to be sequenced, but its function was unknown until recently. It consists of 184 nucleotides that fold into an extended hairpin structure with a large single-stranded internal bulge. The 6S RNA specifically associates with RNA polymerase holoenzyme containing the sigma70 specificity factor. Lineage: Bacteria; Pseudomonadati; Pseudomonadota; Betaproteobacteria; Burkholderiales; Alcaligenaceae. The record is from Rfam by way of RNAcentral.
UUUUCCCUGCGCUGUGCGCCAAGACCAUAAAUUCCUUGAACCGAUGUUUAUGGCACCUGGUUGUAGCGAUACCGAGUUGCGGUGUGAUCGUCUCUCUGUCAGAUGAACCUAAUGCAACUUUAGCGACGACCCCCUAUCUUGCGUAGAUGGGUUCAGGAUGCCGGUCUGGCGGCAGACUGCGGGGAAAUU